This 331-nucleotide ribosomal RNA is filed under the name Branchiodrilus cleistochaeta. RNAcentral's name for it is "partial large subunit ribosomal RNA". It matches the Rfam family "Bacterial large subunit ribosomal RNA", at positions 1956 to 2526 of the family's 2925-position model. Lineage: Eukaryota; Metazoa; Annelida; Clitellata; Tubificida; Naididae. The record is from RNAcentral.
GUAGCAUAAUCACUUGCCCAUUAAUUGUGGGCUAGAAUGAAUGGAAAAACGAAGUAAUAGCUGUCUCUAGUAGUACCAUAAAAAAUAAUCUUCCAGUGAAGAAGCUGAAAUAAAAUCACAGGACAAGAAGACCCUAUAGAGCUUUAUUUUUAAUACAUACAAUAAAUGUAAAAAAAUUCAGUUGGGGCGACUAAGGAAAAAUCAUCCUAAACAUAAAAGACUUACAAGUCAAUUAAAAGAUCCUAAAUAAUAGAUCAAAGAAAUAAGCUACCUUAGGGAUAACAGGCUAAUCCUCCUGGAAAGUCCAAAUUUAUAGGAGGGGUUGGCACCU